UUGACAAAAUUCGUGCCAGCAGUUGCGGUUAUACAAAAAUUAAAAUAAAUUAUUUCAGUUUAUAAUAAAUAAAUAAAUUAAUUAAAAUAAAUAUUAAAUUAUUAAGUGAAAUUUUAAUUUAGUUAAAUUUUAUUUUAUUUUUAUGAAUUAAUAAAUUUUAAUAUAAACUAGGAUUAGAUACCCUAUUAUUAAAAAUUUAAUUUAUAAUACUAAAAUAGUAAAUAAUUAUUUAUUGAAACUUGAAUAAUAUGGCGGUAUUUUAGUUCAUUUAGAGGAAUCUGUCUAAUAAUUGAUAAUCCACGAAUAAAUUUACUUAAUUUAUAAUUUUGUAUAUCAUUGUUAAAAAAAUAUUUUUAAAUAAAAAUAAUAUUUAAAAUUUUUAAUAUAAAAUUAAUUCAGAUCAAGAUGCAGAAUAUAAUUAAGAAUAUGAUGGAUUACAAUAAAAAUAUUUAAAUGAAUAAUAAAUUUGUAAAAUAUAUUUAAAGGUGGAUUUAAAUGUAAUUUUAAUUAGUUUAUUAAAAGUAUAAA
This 528-nucleotide ribosomal RNA is filed under the name Penthema adelma. RNAcentral describes it as "partial 12S ribosomal RNA". Lineage: Eukaryota; Metazoa; Arthropoda; Insecta; Lepidoptera; Nymphalidae. The record is from RNAcentral.